AGUGAACGCUGGCGGUAGGCCUAACACAUGCAAGUCGAACGGCAGCGCAGUAAGAGCUUGCUCUUACGGGUGACGAGUGGCGGACGGGUGAGGAAUACAUCGGAAUCUACUUUUUCGUGGGGGAUAACGUAGGGAAACUUACGCUAAUACCGCAUACGACCUACGGGUGAAAGCAGGGGAUCUUCGGACCUUGCGCGAUUGAAUGAGCCGAUGUCGGAUUAGCUAGUUGGCGGGGUAAAGGCCCACCAAGGCGACGAUCCGUAGCUGGUCUGAGAGGAUGAUCAGCCACACUGGAACUGAGACACGGUCCAGACUCCUACGGGAGGCAGCAGUGGGGAAUAUUGGACAAAGGGCGCAAGCCUGAUCCAGCCAUACCGCGUGGGUGAAGAAGGCCUUCGGGUUGUAAAGCCCUUUUGUUGGGAAAGAAAAGCAGCAGGUUAAUACCCCGCUGUUCUGACGGUACCCAAAGAAUAAGCACCGGCUAACUUCGUG
This 492-nucleotide ribosomal RNA is filed under the name uncultured bacterium. RNAcentral's name for it is "partial 16S ribosomal RNA". It matches the Rfam family "Bacterial small subunit ribosomal RNA", at positions 29 to 507 of the family's 1533-position model. The record is from RNAcentral.